CCUACGGGGGGCAGCAGUGGGGAAUAUUGCACAAUGGGCGCAAGCCUGAUGCAGCCAUGCCGCGUGUGUGAAGAAGGCCUUCGGGUUGUAAAGCACUUUCAGCGGGGAGGAAGGCGUUAAGGUUAAUAACCUUGGCGAUUGACGUUACCCGCAGAGGAAGCACCGGCUAACUCCGUGCCAGCAGCCGCGGUAAUACGGAGGGUGCAAGCGUUAAUCGGAAUUACUGGGCGUAAAGCGCACGCAGGCGGUCUGUCAAGUCGGAUGUGAAAUCCCCGGGCUCAACCUGGGAACUGCAUUCGAAACUGGCAGGCUAGAGUCUUGUAGAGGGGGGUAGAAUUCCAGGUGUAGCGGUGAAAUGCGUAGAGAUCUGGAGGAAUACCGGUGGCGAAGGCGGCCCCCUGGACAAAGACUGACGCCCAGGUGCGAAAGCGUGGGGAGCAAACAGGAUUAGAUACCCUAGUAGUC
RNAcentral lists this ribosomal RNA (465 nucleotides) under uncultured Klebsiella sp. Its description in RNAcentral is "bacterial SSU rRNA". It matches the Rfam family "Bacterial small subunit ribosomal RNA", at positions 338 to 795 of the family's 1533-position model. Lineage: Bacteria; Pseudomonadati; Pseudomonadota; Gammaproteobacteria; Enterobacterales; Enterobacteriaceae. The record is from RNAcentral.